AUGUGCACACGUUACUUUCUGUCCAAACCAUAUUCCCUUUGCGUCUCUCGUGUUUGCCAGAUGCCAGCUUUCCAAUUGGGACCAAAAAAAAAAAUAGUGUGGGUGGCAGCCUACUUUUGCAUAUAUGCAGCCAGGACCAAGGAAGGCAGAGACAAGGGACCUUAUUCUGAGAAAUAUGGAGCACAAAAUAAUGCACAGAGCAAUCGUAGAGUGGCACCAAGGCUUGAUGGACGUCUACGCAGAGGCACUGAGACCUGAGGAAGCAAGGCCCCCGGAAGAGAGGAGCAGGCUCAGGACUGCCACAUGUGGAGCUAGGUCGCCAGCCCACCCCUGGAGACGAAUGAGGAAAAAGCUGCUGAAGCCUCUCAGCUGGCAAAGCCUGCGAAGUGAGAAGUGGAGAUGAGCCUCCAAGAAAAAUAACCUGCACCCUCAAGGGACCUUUGGAUUUGGCAGUGAACUACAUUCCAUAAGCACCUCUUUUGCCAGCGUGUCUGAGCUAGAAAUAGCAAACCAGGACAUGACAGCUGCGAAAAAUAAGAGCAGGUUAGGAAGUAUUAGUGAUUGCAACUCACUUCUAAACUCAUCCCUUACCUGAGAGAACUAUGACUAGUUUUGGCCAGACCUGAGUAAUGUUAAUAGCUCUGUGGCUUUCUGUACUACCCCUCUGCCGCCUGUGAGGGGAUGGGGUGCCUGAUGAACUGCCGGGACACUGCUGAGCCUGGUAGCAGAGAUAUGGCACGAAACUGGCUCUGUGGGCAUUCUGAGGUUCAUGUCAUCUCCCUAAUGUCAGGAAGGUGUCAGUGCAAUUUUUUAAGUAAGCUUUAAAGCUGCUUAGCUCUGCAGAGAAGAGCAGAGUAGCCUCAAGGGCCAGAGUCUGGUUCAGGGACUGUCGCUGUGCGGUAAGUUAUGCACGCAGGAAUGACUGCAGAAUGGCCUCAAAUACUGGAAUUUAGCCUCUGCAGAGAAAACAUCUACCAGAUAACUGAGUUAAAUUUAUUUUCAUUAAGGGGUCGUUGGAUUCUUAUGUUGCACCUAAAGAGGCAUUGACAAGCAGGAAACCUAGCUUUAAAAUUCUUCAAAAGGACACCACCUCUGCUAGUGAGACAGAGCCUCGGUUUCUGCAUCAAAGUGCUCAAAUCGUGGGGUAACAUUUCAGCAGGCCAAAAUAAGCCUGAUGAGGUCCAGAGGGCAUUGUGCCUCUUGCCAGCUCCUCAUUAGUGAAGGGGCUGCAAUACAAAUAGGCAAAACCAAUCAGCUUAGUACAGUCAGAUAUUGCUGCUGGGUCUGUUGCUGAUUUGAAAAGAUCAGCUGGUCUGGGUUAGGCAGUCACAUAUGGCAACUUGUAGGGAACUUCCUUGAAGUAAGCCUUAAAGUAAGUUACAUCUUUACGGGAGAAUGUUUAAAAAUAAAACCAUAUGAAGAACCA
RNAcentral lists this long non-coding RNA (1426 nucleotides) under Struthio camelus australis. RNAcentral's name for it is "lncRNA (ENSSCUG00000014699.1)". The record is from RNAcentral. Lineage: Eukaryota; Metazoa; Chordata; Aves; Struthioniformes; Struthionidae.